UAGCGGCGGACGGCGGAGUAACACGUGGCUAACCUGUCCUCGGGAGGGGGAUAACUCUGGGAAACCGGAGCUAAUACCCCAUGAGGUCCCACUGGUCAACAGUGGGAUGAAAGCCGGCCUCCGGGCUGGUGCCUGAGGAGGGGGCCACGGCCUAUCAGCUAGUUGGCGGGAUAAAAGCCCACCAAGGCGAAGACAGGUAGGGGGCGUGAGAGCGUGAUCCCCCCGAGGGACACUGAGACACGGGUCCCACUCCUACGGGAGGCAGCAGGCUAGAAAUUUGGGCAAUGGGGGAAACCCUGACCCAGCGACGCCGCGUGCGGGAAGAAGCCCUUCGGGGUGUAAACCGCUGUCAAGGAGGAAGAGGUCCUGGUGAGCGAAUACCUCAUCAGGAUGACGGUACUCCUUGAGGAAGCCCAGGCUAACCUCGUGCCAGCAGCCGCGGUAAUACGGGGUGGGCAAGCGUUGCCCGGAAUCACUGGGCUUAAAGGGGAUGCAGGCGGCUCGGUGUGUCGGGCAUGUAAUCCCAAGGCUUAACCUUGGGGCUGUGCUCGAAACUACCGGGCUUGAGGGCGGGAGAGGAGAACGGAACUCCCGGUGUAGCGGUGAAAUGCGUAGAUAUCGGGGGGAACGCCGGUGGCGAAAGCGGUUCUCUGGCCCGUCCCUGACGCUCAUAUCCGAAAGCCAGGGUAGCGAAAGGGGAUUAGAUACCCCCGUAGUCCUGGCCAUAAAC
This 730-nucleotide ribosomal RNA is filed under the name uncultured bacterium. RNAcentral's name for it is "bacterial SSU rRNA". It matches the Rfam family "Bacterial small subunit ribosomal RNA", at positions 93 to 807 of the family's 1533-position model. The record is from RNAcentral.